This 264-nucleotide ribosomal RNA is filed under the name uncultured bacterium. RNAcentral's name for it is "partial 16S ribosomal RNA". It matches the Rfam family "Bacterial small subunit ribosomal RNA", at positions 793 to 1055 of the family's 1533-position model. The record is from RNAcentral.
GUUCUUGCCGUAAACGAUGUAUACUUGAUGUAGUUGGGCUCAACCCUGACUGUGUCGAAGCGAACGCGAUAAGUAUACCGCCUGAGGAGUACGCUCGCAAGGGUGAAACUCAAAAGAAUUGACGGGGGCCCCGCACAAGCAGUGGAGCAUGUGGUUUAAUUCGACGCAACGCGAAGAACCUUACCCAGGCUCGAAAUGCAGUGGGCGACAUCAGAAAUGGUGUUUUCCGUAAGGACUGCUGCAUAGGUGCUGCAUGGCUGUCGU